UGAGGAAUAUUGGUCAAUGGACGAGAGUCUGAACCAGCCAAGUAGCGUGAAGGAUGACUGCCCUAUGGGUUGUAAACUUCUUUUAUAUGGGAAUAAAACGUUCCACGUGUGGGAUUUUGUAUGUACCAUAUGAAUAAGGAUCGGCUAACUCCGUGCCAGCAGCCGCGGUAAUACGGAGGAUCCGAGCGUUAUCCGGAUUUAUUGGGUUUAAAGGGAGCGUAGGUGGUUUGUUAAGUCAGAUGUGAAAGUUUGCGGCUCAACCGUAAAAUUGCAGUUGAUACUGGCUGUCUUGAGUACAGUAGAGGUGGGCGGAAUUCGUGGUGUAGCGGUGAAAUGCUUAGAUAUCACGAAGAACUCCGAUUGCGAAGGCAGCUCACUGGACUGCAACUGGCACUGAUGCACGAAGGCGUGGGUAUCGAACAGG
RNAcentral lists this ribosomal RNA (424 nucleotides) under uncultured bacterium. RNAcentral's name for it is "bacterial SSU rRNA". It matches the Rfam family "Bacterial small subunit ribosomal RNA", at positions 355 to 776 of the family's 1533-position model. The record is from RNAcentral.